This 426-nucleotide ribosomal RNA is filed under the name uncultured bacterium. RNAcentral describes it as "bacterial SSU rRNA". It matches the Rfam family "Bacterial small subunit ribosomal RNA", at positions 954 to 1380 of the family's 1533-position model. The record is from RNAcentral.
GCACAACGCGAAGAACCUUACCCACCUUUGACAUGUACGGAAUCCUUUAGAGAUAGAGGAGUGCUCGAAAGAGAGCCGUAACACAGGUGCUGCAUGGCUGUCGUCAGCUCGUGUCGUGAGAUGUUGGGUUAAGUCCCGCAACGAGCGCAGCCCUUGCCAUUAGUUGCUACAUUUAGUUGAGCACUCUAAUGGGACUGCCGGUGACAAACCGGAGGAAGGUGGGGAUGACGUCAAGUCCUCAUGGCCCUUAUAGGUGGGGCUACACACGUCAUACAAUGGCUGGUACAAAGGGUUGCCAACCCGCGAGGGGGAACUAAUCCCAUAAAGCCAGUCGUAGUCCGGAUCGCAGUCUGCAACUCGACUGCGUGAAGUCGGAAUCGCUAGUAAUCGUGGAUCAGAAUGUCACGGUGAAUACGUUCCCGGGUC